UGGGGAAUAUUGCACAAUGGGCGGAAGCCUGUUGCAGCGACGCCGCGUGGGGGAUGAAGGCCUUCUGGUUGUAAACUCCUUUCGACAGGGACGAAGCUUUUGUGACGGUACCUGUAUAAGAAGCACCGGCUAACUACGUGCCAGCAGCCGCGGUAAUACGUAGGGUGCGAGCGUUGUCCGGAAUUACUGGGCGUAAAGAGCUCGUAGGUGGUUUGUCGCGUCGUCUGUGAAAUUCCGGGGCUUAACUCCGGGCGUGCAGGCGAUACGGGCUGACUUGAGUGCUGUAGGGGAGACUGGAAUUCCUGGUGUAGCGGUGAAAUGCGCAGAUAUCAGGAGGAACACCGAUGGCGAAGGCAGGUCUCUGGGCAGUAACUGACGCUGAGGAGCGAAAGCAUGGGUAGCGAACAGG
This 409-nucleotide ribosomal RNA is filed under the name bacterium. RNAcentral describes it as "partial 16S ribosomal RNA". It matches the Rfam family "Bacterial small subunit ribosomal RNA", at positions 355 to 776 of the family's 1533-position model. The record is from RNAcentral.